Molecule: non-coding RNA, 510 nt
Organism: Callorhinus ursinus (northern fur seal)
Lineage: Eukaryota; Metazoa; Chordata; Mammalia; Carnivora; Otariidae
Source: RefSeq, a predicted model, not a curated record
CAGCAAGGGAGGAUCUGAAAGGUUGGGUACUGGGCAUCUGCCCUGCGCCUCUGCCUCCAGACCUCGGGCUAUGAGAUGGUGAAGGGUGAGAGACAGCUGACGCCACUGGGUCCCUUUCCCACAGCCCCUUAACCCUCCCCUACCCACAAUCGGAGACACCCAUUUCCCCCGGGCCUGGGUGGCUUCACACCUGCCGACACCCGGGCCGGGGCCGUCGGAGCCAGAAGAGAGAACGCUGCCGGGGAUAGAGUCCUUGAAGGCUGCAAACCUAGACUGAGCUCCUGGAAAUUACAAGGAGAGAGAAGAAGUGGGAAAUCUGCUCAGGGAGAUAAGUCCAGGAAAUGGAGGCAGUGAGUAGAGCAGCGUCCAUGAGAAGAGCUGUUGGACUGCGGCACUUUGGAUUCUGACGUGUGUUAUUGGGAGACAUUGUUCAUCCUUGCUCCUGUCUAGAAGGGAAAAGAAAAAAACCAAGACAAGAAUUAGCUGGGCCAAUGCCAAUCCUUCAUAACA